CCGGCGCACGGGUGAGUAACACGUAUCCAACCUGCCGUCUACUCUUGGACAGCCUUCUGAAAGGAAGAUUAAUACAAGAUGGCAUCAUGAGUUCACAUGUUCACAUGAUUAAAGGUAUUCCGGUAGACGAUGGGGAUGCGUUCCAUUAGAUAGUAGGCGGGGUAACGGCCCACCUAGUCUUCGAUGGAUAGGGGUUCUGAGAGGAAGGUCCCCCACAUUGGAACUGAGACACGGUCCAAACUCCUACGGGAGGCAGCAGUGAGGAAUAUUGGUCAAUGGGCGAGAGCCUGAACCAGCCAAGUAGCGUGAAGGAUGACUGCCCUAUGGGUUGUAAACUUCUUUUAUAAAGGAAUAAAGUCGGGUAUGCAUACCCGUUUGCAUGUACUUUAUGAAUAAGGAUCGGCUAACUCCGUGCCAGCAGCCGCGGUAAUACGGAGGAUCCGAGCGUUAUCCGGAUUUAUUGGGUUUAAAGGGAGCGUAGAUGGAUGUUUAAGUCAGUUGUGAAAGUUUGCGGCUCAACCGUAAAAUUGCAGUUGAUACUGGAUAUCUUGAGUGCAGUUGAGGCAGGCGGAAUUCGUGGUGUAGCGGUGAAAUGCUUAGAUAUCACGAAGAACUCCGAUUGCGAAGGCA
Molecule: ribosomal RNA, 630 nt
Filed under: uncultured Bacteroidales bacterium
Lineage: Bacteria; Pseudomonadati; Bacteroidota; Bacteroidia; Bacteroidales
Description: bacterial SSU rRNA
Rfam family: Bacterial small subunit ribosomal RNA
Source: RNAcentral